RNAcentral lists this ribosomal RNA (649 nucleotides) under Armadillo officinalis (oak-woodland pillbug). Its description in RNAcentral is "partial large subunit ribosomal RNA". It matches the Rfam family "Eukaryotic large subunit ribosomal RNA", at positions 659 to 917 of the family's 3401-position model. The record is from RNAcentral. Lineage: Eukaryota; Metazoa; Arthropoda; Malacostraca; Isopoda; Armadillidae.
ACAGGGACCAAGGAGUCUAGAAUGCGCGCGAGUCAAAGGGUUGGCUAAACCCCAAGGCGAAACGAAAGUGAAAACUUUUCCAGUGGGCCGAUCCGGUUCGCGUCGGAAAGGUCGAUUGCGGCGUCGGGAGGUCGGGUACGUGAAAGCGUGAAAGCGGCGGUGGGGGCUCCGUGGUCGUCGUCGUCGAGCGCGGAAGCUCUCUUCCUCCCCGUCCCUCGGUUUUUUUCUUUCCCCGCGAUUCGUCUCCCCGAUAUGAGGACGGCGCAGGCCCGGGGCUCGCCAAUGCUUCCUCCCCGUCGCUAAGGCUCGGUCGUUCGCAUUUCUCGUUCGUCGGUGCGCGACGAGUCCUUCCUCCGGGCCGGGAUGCGGUCGGGGGUGACGGUGGUUUCUUCUUUCCUACUCUGUAGGGGAGGGGAGAUCCCUGUUAAUCCUUCGCCGCUACCGCAGAUCCGCGAGAGAGGGGUUCUCUCGGCGCGUUAUCGCUUUCGAGGCGGCGAUCCGCCGGCGCGGGACGAGCGGCGGGUCCUCUGAGCGCGUAUUCUGGUACCCGAAAGAUGGUGAUCUAUGCCUGGCCAGGAUGAAGCCAGAGGAAACUCUGGUGGAGGUCCGUAGCGAUUCUGACGUGCAAAUCGAUCGUCGGAGCUGGGUA